This 292-nucleotide ribosomal RNA is filed under the name uncultured bacterium. Its description in RNAcentral is "partial 16S ribosomal RNA". It matches the Rfam family "Bacterial small subunit ribosomal RNA", at positions 505 to 796 of the family's 1533-position model. The record is from RNAcentral.
GUGCCAGCCGCCGCGGUAAUACGGGGGGAGCAAGCGUUGUUCGGAAUCACUGGGCGUAAAGGGCGUGUAGGCGGUUCGGUAAGUGGGAUGUGAAAUGCCCCGGCUCACCCGGGGACCUGCAUCCCAAACUGCUGAGCUUGAGUACAGGAGAGGGUGGGGGAAUUCCAGGUGUAGCGGUGAAAUGCGUAGAUAUCUGGAGGAACACCGGUGGCGAAGGCGCCCACCUGGCCUGCUACUGACGCUGAGGCGCGAAAGCUAGGGGAGCAAACGGGAUUAGAUACCCCCGUAGUCC